Molecule: ribosomal RNA, 774 nt
Filed under: uncultured Neocallimastigales
Lineage: Eukaryota; Fungi; Neocallimastigomycota; Neocallimastigomycetes; Neocallimastigales
Description: partial large subunit ribosomal RNA
Rfam family: Eukaryotic large subunit ribosomal RNA
Source: RNAcentral
UAUGUGAUCGUCUCUCGCAUAUCAAUAAGCGGAGGAAAAGAAACUAACAAGGAUUCCCCUAGUAACGGCGAGUGAAGCGGGAAGAGCUCAAAUUUGAAAUCUUAAAGGGUUUCCCUUUACGAAUUGUAGUUUAAAGAAGUGUUUUCUGUUGAGGUUUUGGUAAAAGUUCUUUGGAAUAGGACAUCAUAGAGGGUGAGAAUCCCGUAUUUGACCUUUACUUUCAACUUUGUGACACACUUUCAAAGAGUCGGAUUGUUUGGGAAUGCAGUCCAAAAUGGGUGGUAAAUUUCAUCUAAAGCUAAAUAUUGGCGAGAGACCGAUAGCGAACAAGUACCGUGAGGGAAAGAUGAAAAGAACUUUGAAAAGAGAGUUAAACAGUACGUGAAAUUGUCAAAAGGGAAGCGUUUGACACCAGUGUUGUUUUUCUGAAAAUCAAUUAAAGAACUGUUUAUGCUAAGUUGUUUAGACUUUAUCAGCUAACUGUUUAGUUUUGAGCUUUUCUUUAAUGCACUUUUCAGUUAACAAGUCAACAUCAAUUUCUUUUGCUGUAAAAAAGCUUGAGGAAGGUGGCUUGAGAUUCGUCUUAAGUGUUUAUAGCCUCUUGCCUAUGCAGUCGGAGAGAUUGAGGUCUGCAGCGUAGAUCCUUCGGGGCUAAAUGCAUUUGUGCUAAGUUAUAGCAUUUUAUAGACAACUUGUUGACUAUGACUUGUCUUGUAGCUUACUCGCUUAUGUUAUUUUACCUACGCUUAGGAUGUUGAGCGCAUGUCUCUCUCU